Molecule: long non-coding RNA, 598 nt
Filed under: Elaeis guineensis (African oil palm)
Lineage: Eukaryota; Viridiplantae; Streptophyta; Magnoliopsida; Arecales; Arecaceae
Description: long non-coding RNA (EGUI_LNC003396)
Source: RNAcentral
UCGGUAAUUAAUUAAUAGGGGAACAAGCAUUGCAAUAAAAAUGCGUAAAGAUGUCUCUGUCGCAAUGCCGUCAUUAAAUAAGAUAGGAGCAAGUCCAUCUGAAGAAAGACAGGCUAGAACUCGCCCAUUUGGUGUAUACAGGGAGUAGUGUAGGUAGGAGAAAGGUGCAAGAAGCUAGAUGGUAGGAAGAGAGGUUCCAUUAAGUACACCUGGAACCAUACAUGAUACUUUAAGGUCCAUAGCCUAAAAUGUGGUGGUGGAUAGGCUAGAUGAUAGUUAAUAAAACUGAUCACUACAAGCAUGCUGAUAAUGAGAACUUGCAAUGAGAACUAAAGGAUCAUGGGUGCUGUUUUCUUCUUCUUCUUCUUCUUCUUCUUUUUUGAAAUGGAUCAUAGAUGCUGGGUCUCCACAGUGAAGCAGCAAAGAGCCACACUAAUCUUAGAGAAAAAUCCCUCUCCAUGUUGUUGCCGAAGGAGAGGGGAUUUCAUCUCGGUGAUUACUCCAAAUUAAAGUUCCACUAUGAUAAGUGGAUUCGGAACAAACUCUUCACAAGUGGCCCUCUGCAUGAUUGCCACUUGUCAUGCUCUGAAGGUGCAGA